RNAcentral lists this long non-coding RNA (202 nucleotides) under Elaeis guineensis (African oil palm). Its description in RNAcentral is "long non-coding RNA (EGUI_LNC054447)". Lineage: Eukaryota; Viridiplantae; Streptophyta; Magnoliopsida; Arecales; Arecaceae. The record is from RNAcentral.
GGGGACGAAGUCCGACUCCCGUAGGAGUCCGGACGGAGUCUGGUAGUUGUAGAAAUCUGUUGUUGGUGAAGUUCGGCCGUUGGCGAGGUCCGAGGUAGUUUGGAUUGGAGUUGAACCUGGCUGGAAGAAGUCUGGAAGGGAUUCGGGGAGCAGCCGACGGUCGUAGGAGGUCGGCUGGCGGCAGAGCUUAGUGAGCGCUUGG